Molecule: transfer RNA, 83 nt
Organism: Chrysochromulina sp.
Lineage: Eukaryota; Haptophyta; Prymnesiales; Chrysochromulinaceae
Rfam family: tRNA
About the family: Transfer RNA (tRNA) molecules are approximately 80 nucleotides in length. Their secondary structure includes four short double-helical elements and three loops (D, anti-codon, and T loops).
Source: Rfam
UCAGUUGUGAUGAAAUUGGUAUACAUGUUAGAUUUAGGAUCUAAUGCUACGUUAGCGUGAACGUUCAAGUCGUUCCAACUGAA